RNAcentral lists this small RNA (200 nucleotides) under Meriones unguiculatus (Mongolian gerbil). Its description in RNAcentral is "7SK RNA (ENSMUGG00000004542.1)". It matches the Rfam family "7SK RNA", at positions 116 to 331 of the family's 331-position model. From Rfam's summary of the family: 7SK was discovered as an abundant small nuclear RNA in the mid-70s but a possible function has only recently been suggested. Lineage: Eukaryota; Metazoa; Chordata; Mammalia; Rodentia; Muridae. The record is from RNAcentral.
UCAAUAUUGAAGCUGUGUGCUCAGUCGAAGAGGAAAGUCUUCCCGGAAUAGAGGAGGGCCAGUCUUCAGUCAAAGGCAUACGAGUAGCUGUGAUCCCCUGCUAGAACCUCCAACAGGCUCAACGUCCAGUUUUCUUAAUGAGAAGAAUGAUUGGCUUGUAUAAUGUCUUUAGGAGGUUUACACAGGGUAAAAUUUAAAAA